RNAcentral lists this ribosomal RNA (103 nucleotides) under uncultured bacterium. RNAcentral describes it as "partial 16S ribosomal RNA". The record is from RNAcentral.
CCUUCGGGGUUGUAAAGCUCUUUUUGUCCGGAGCGAAACGGUUAGCGUGAAUAGCGCUGACUACUGACGGUACCGGAAGAAUAAGCACCGGCUAACUACGUGC